GCCGGAAUAGCUCAGUUGGUAGAGCAGAGGACUGAAAAUCCUCGUGUCACCAGC
This 54-nucleotide transfer RNA is filed under the name Dicranum scoparium. RNAcentral's name for it is "partial tRNA-Phe". It matches the Rfam family "tRNA", at positions 1 to 52 of the family's 71-position model. Rfam says of the family: Transfer RNA (tRNA) molecules are approximately 80 nucleotides in length. RNAcentral also lists the same sequence under 1 other name. The record is from RNAcentral. Lineage: Eukaryota; Viridiplantae; Streptophyta; Bryopsida; Dicranales; Dicranaceae.